Molecule: small nucleolar RNA, 71 nt
Organism: Danio rerio (zebrafish)
Lineage: Eukaryota; Metazoa; Chordata; Actinopteri; Cypriniformes; Danionidae
Source: Ensembl
GUAUGAAAUGAUGGUAUGACUAUCUUUCGGGACUGACCUUUUGUGGAGAAGACCUUUUCAACUGAUCAUAC